Molecule: non-coding RNA, 150 nt
Organism: Triticum aestivum (bread wheat)
Lineage: Eukaryota; Viridiplantae; Streptophyta; Magnoliopsida; Poales; Poaceae
Source: Rfam
CAACUACUCCCUCUGUUCCAAAUUUCUUGUCUUAGAUUUGUCUAGAUACGGAUGUAUCUAAUAUGGAUGUAUCUAAUACUAAAAUGUGACUUGAUACAUCCGUAUCUAGACAAAUCUAAGAUAAGAAUUUUGGGACGGAGGGAGUACUUU